Molecule: ribosomal RNA, 429 nt
Filed under: Hypoderma lineatum (early cattle grub)
Lineage: Eukaryota; Metazoa; Arthropoda; Insecta; Diptera; Oestridae
Description: eukaryotic LSU rRNA
Source: RNAcentral
GUUAAAUAGUACGUGAAACUGCUUAGAGGUUAAGCCCGAUGAACCUGAAUAUCCCGUAAUAUGGAAAAGUCAUUCACUAUGACAGUAAUAUUUUAUUAAAUAUUAUGAGUAAUAGUGUGCAUUUUUUCCCAUUAAAAGACAUUGUAAUCUAUUAACAUUAACUUACUAAUAUUUAUCAAAAGAUCAUUGGCGUAAGUUUAUUCAAAAUAUUUUGCAUUGGCAAUUUAAAACAGAAUAAAGCUUAUGAUUUGAUAAAGUGUUGAUAGAUUGAAUUCGUAUAUAGCGCUGAAAUAAUAAUUUAUUUUAUUAUUUUGAGUGGAUUGAAAAGUCAAUGAUUUUAAAUUCACUUAUGCGCUUAUAUGAUUUUCAAUGCGAAAGAUUCAGGAUACCUUCGGGACCCGUCUUGAAACACGGACCAAGGAGUCUAAC